This 561-nucleotide ribosomal RNA is filed under the name uncultured Desulfobacterales bacterium. RNAcentral describes it as "bacterial SSU rRNA". It matches the Rfam family "Bacterial small subunit ribosomal RNA", at positions 35 to 568 of the family's 1533-position model. The record is from RNAcentral. Lineage: Bacteria; Pseudomonadati; Thermodesulfobacteriota; Desulfobacteria; Desulfobacterales.
GCUGGCGGCAUGCUUAACACAUGCAAGUCGCACGAGAACGUUUCAGCUUGCUGAAACUAGUAAAGUGGCGCACGGGUGAGUAACGCGUGGGUAAUCUACCUCCGAAUUGGGGAUAACAUUGCGAAAGCGAUGCUAAUACCGAAUGACAUCUCAAUAACUUCGGUCUUUGAGAUCAAAGAUGGCCUCUCCAUGGAAGCUAUUGUUUGGAGAUGAGCCCGCGUACCAUUAGCUUGUUGGUAGGGUAAUGGCCUACCAAGGCAACGAUGGUUAGCUGGUCUGAGAGGAUGAUCAGCCACACUGGAACUGACACACGGUCCAGACUCCUACGGGAGGCAGCAGUGAGGAAUUUUGCGCAAUGGGGGAAACCCUGACGCAGCAACGCCGCGUGAGUGAUGAAGGCUUUCGGGUCGUAAAGCUCUGUCAAGUGAGAAGAACCUGCCCUUUGCUAAUAUCAUUGGGCACUGACGGUAUCACUGAAGGAAGCACCGGCUAACUCCGUGCCAGCAGCCGCGGUAAUACGGAGGGUGCAAGCGUUAUUCGGAAUCACUGGGCGUAAAGAGC